UACGGAGCAGGCAAGCGUUCUCCGGAAUUAUUGGGCGUAAAGCGUCCGUAGGUGGUUCACCAAGUCUGCUGUCAAAGGGUGGGGCUUAACCUCAUAAAGGCAGUGGAAACUGGUGAGCUAGAGUGCGGUAGGGGUAAGGGGAAUUCCCAGUGUAGCGGUGAAAGGCGUAGAGAUUGGGAAGAACAUCGGUGGCGAAAGCGCCUUACUGGGCCUGCACUGACACUGAGGGACGAAAGCUAGGGGAGCGAAAGGG
This 253-nucleotide ribosomal RNA is filed under the name uncultured bacterium. Its description in RNAcentral is "partial 16S ribosomal RNA". It matches the Rfam family "Bacterial small subunit ribosomal RNA", at positions 524 to 776 of the family's 1533-position model. The record is from RNAcentral.